AUUAUACUCCCUCCGUCCGAAAAUACUUGUCAUCAAAAUGGACAAAAAGGCAUGUAUCUAAAACUAAAAUACAUCUAGAUACAUCCCUUUUAUCCAUUUUGAUGACAAGUAUUUCCGGACGGAGGGAGUAUAUA
Triticum aestivum (bread wheat) is the source of this 134-nucleotide non-coding RNA. NCBI's taxonomy places the organism in Eukaryota, Viridiplantae, Streptophyta, Magnoliopsida, Poales, Poaceae. The record is from Rfam.